RNAcentral lists this long non-coding RNA (1494 nucleotides) under Volvox carteri. RNAcentral describes it as "long non-coding RNA (VCAR_LNC001543)". The record is from RNAcentral. Lineage: Eukaryota; Viridiplantae; Chlorophyta; Chlorophyceae; Chlamydomonadales; Volvocaceae.
CUCUUCGGCGCAGGCGGAGAAAUCCAUGUAUCGGGGAUGGUGUCCCUCGGGUCAGUCCCUUGAGAAGUGCAAUCAGCUCUAAUGCACAGAACGUAUAUCGAACCAUGGCUCGAUUUUAAUACUGCUCUUUCUUGCCUCGGUUUAUCCGGGUUCUAUUACAUCGAUCUCUAUAACCGCCCUUUCCCGCUCCCAGCUAGCAUCGAACCGUGACAAGACCGGGGGCUUACCCAUUCGCAUGCGGCUUGUGUCCUCAUGCCACCUACAUGAGCACUACAUGGGACUUUGCCGACUAACUCACGUCGCGAAGCAAGUGUUCAUUUUUAAAAAGCAAGCUGGCAGACAAGCAAGCAAGCAAGCAAGUCUCGGGUUCCCCUUGUAGUAGCAGUAGGUAUUACAGCGAGAGCCCCAGACCCCGAGGCAUUACCCCAAGGUAGGGCCAUCGAGCCACAACGGACCGUGCAUUGGACUUUGAAACCUCCCUUGCGUGCGGGUUUCUGGACGGCGUUAGUUCAACCUUCCUUCCUUAUACACAUGGUUCCCGCAUCAAAGGCAGACGGCAAACCCUGUCAUGGAGACAUCAUUGCAGCCGCCUUCCCAACGGGGGCUCGCAAGCGCCACCCAGCUCGUCAUCAGUCCAAACCGCGAUCACGGCCCUGAUGUACUGCCCGGGCCCCUUGCCGCUGAGCUGGCCCGACCCUACCCAAAGAUCCGGAGCUGUUGACCUGGCCGAACGUGCGGAGGGCCAGCCCCCAGGGCGACGCCUGUUCAGCCCCUCCCUCCCGCAGGCGGGGUCGGCAGCUGAUUCUUUGCACUUUGCAUCAUCACCUUGGGAGUUGUGACCCUAUCUCCCGUGUCGGAAAGGGAUUUACCAAAGAUGGCCUGGUGGCGUAUCGCUUUCAUAACCCAACAAACCCACAGUUACCCCAACCACCGACCGCCGCAACCCUUAACGCCCUGAACCCCCCCUUCCCCAGUGAAUACACGAUACGCGGUCAAAGAGGCCUCUACGUGACCUCUCCCCCCGGGGCCUUGUGCAGCAAUUUUCUAACCUUGGGGCUGGGCCUCUCCGCCAGCUUCCUUGCCCUCCUCCCUCCGCCUCUGUAUUUUCAGCAUUCAAGAAGUAUCAACUGGACUAACACCCUGGCCUCCCCAUAAAACGUAACCCGCAAUACCCAGCGGUCAACGACCUGCACAGGCACCACACACACACACACACGCAGGUUGCCGGCGGCCUGCUAUUACAAUUCCGUCCAGUCAUCUUCGUCCUCUUCCUCCUUCCCCUCCCCCCUUUUCGCCUCCUCCCCACCAACCUCUCUUCCUUUCCCCUCCCCCCUUUCCCGCUCUUCCUUUCCCUCCUCCUCUCCCGCUUCCUCGUCCUCCUCCUCCACUUCUUCCUCCUCCAUCAUCGCCGCCGCCGCGGCGGCAUGCAGCUCCGACAGGCCCGUCAACGCCUCCAGCGCCGCCGGUGACUGCAGCGCCUCCCGCACCAGCCCC